Bos taurus (domestic cattle) is the source of this 566-nucleotide long non-coding RNA. The record is from Ensembl. Lineage: Eukaryota; Metazoa; Chordata; Mammalia; Artiodactyla; Bovidae.
GGCACCGUCCUUUCCUCCCACCCCGCGAUCUGCUCGACGUGAAACGGCCCGAGUUGUGCUUCACUUGGGGCGGCGGUAGCGGCCCCUUUGUCCGUGCCCAGGUUCAGGUGGAGACCACCAGCCCGGACGGCACGGCCGAGCCCGUCUCAGCCCCAGCCUCUCGCCCGGGGACCCCUCGCUCCGGGGCUCGGGUUCCGCGCCUCCCGGCGGGUCGGACCGGCAGGGGGCAGAGGCGCGGAGGAGCCGGAACCUCCAGGGCCCCGAGGGAAGCGCCGCGGCCCCGAGGAGAUGUGGGACAUGUGGAUUUGGGAUGUGAAUUCAUUUGAAAAGCCACUUUGGGUAGAUGUGGUCAGCAUAGCUAAGGAAGGCCAGUGGGUCAGAAGUAGCCAAGGUACUCCUCACCUAGUAAAAGGGGACAUGGAUUUAAUCCCUGGUCCAGGAAGAUUCCACAUGCCUUGGAGCAACUCAUGCACCUCAGCAAGAGAGGUCCCCGCAGGGAGAAGCCCAGGCGCCGCAGAGUAGCCCCUGGAGAGAGGCGGCUGGAGAAACCCCAGCUGGAGAAAGCC